UUUCCUUUCCCUUUGUUAUUUCUUCUCAAUUCUCACCGUCGCAUCCCAGUUCUUUGUCCCUCCCUCCUCUCUCUCCCCCUUCUUCUCUUUCCCCGACCUCUCCUUUUUUCCUUCACCGACAAACACAAGGACGAAUAGGAACCUGCCCAGUAUGAUGCUCUUCUCGAGGGGGUGACAAAGUCACCUCUGUUCUUCAGAAAGUCUCCCCGACAACUACAAGGACGACAUCGGCGAAUUUUACGGUGACCCAGGAAUCAAAAGCGAGUGAAAGGUAAAGCUUCUCUUCAAACAUUCAUCGCCAGCAAUUCCAACCAGAGCCAACCAGGCGCUUCUCGAGAUGGCGUUGGAACGUGCAGGUGACGAGGAUUCAGGGGAUGAGGAGGAAAUGGCAAAGGAGGAGGACCAAAAUGCGUUAUCUGUUAGGAUAAUUGGUGCCCUGAAUACCAAAAAGUGAGUUUUUACGCAACCUCAUUACUUGCAAAAUUUUGUUCAGUCAACAUUCAAUGCCUUGCCAUUAGAUCAAGUUAAAGGUACGAAUCACUAAAUCAUACUAUUUUCGUCACAUUUUAUUCCCUUGCUGAACACAAUGGAGUGAAUUGUCUUCAUUUGCAUUUUUGCAUUUGAACUUUAAGACCUAGUUUGGGAGUGAGGUGCUUAAAAAAAAGCACUCAUGAAAAAAAGUUAUGAGGGUUUUAGGUGUUUGGUAAACUGAAAAAAAAAAAGGCUUAUUUUGGAAGCUACUGUGAGAAUAAGC
Non-coding RNA from Malus domestica (apple), 754 nucleotides. NCBI's taxonomy places the organism in Eukaryota, Viridiplantae, Streptophyta, Magnoliopsida, Rosales, Rosaceae. The record is from RefSeq and is a predicted model, not a curated record.